CAUUGGGGCGAACUAAACCCAAGGGCGUAGUGAAAGCGAAGGACACGUUGGUGUCUUAGGGACGAUCCCCCUCGGGGGCGCAGUCUCGGCGCUUUGCAUCGACCUCGCAUCGUGCAGAGCAGCAAGAGCAUACACGUUGGGACCCGAAAGAUGGUGAACUAUGCCUGGCCAGGUUGAAGUCAGGGGAAACCCUGAUGGAGGACCGUAGCGAUUCUGACGUGCAAAUCGAUCGUCGGAGCUGGGUAUAGGGGCGAAAGACUAAUCGAACCAUCUAGUAGCUGGUUCCUUCCGAA
RNAcentral lists this ribosomal RNA (293 nucleotides) under Cyclops scutifer. RNAcentral's name for it is "partial 28S ribosomal RNA". It matches the Rfam family "Eukaryotic large subunit ribosomal RNA", at positions 692 to 965 of the family's 3401-position model. The record is from RNAcentral. Lineage: Eukaryota; Metazoa; Arthropoda; Copepoda; Cyclopoida; Cyclopidae.